UACAGAGGUCUCAAGCGUUGUUCGGAGUCAUUGGGCGUAAAGGGUGCGUAGGGGGCGCCAUAAGUCAGGUGUGAAAUCUCGGGGCUCAACCCCGAAACUGCACUUGAUACUGUGGUGCUGGAGUACUGGAGAGGAGAUUGGAAUUUACGGUGUAGCAGUGAAAUGCGUAGAUAUCGUAAGGAAGACCAGUGGCGAAGGCGAAUCUCUGGACAGUUACUGACACUGAGGCACGAAGGCCAGGGGAGCAAACAGG
This 253-nucleotide ribosomal RNA is filed under the name uncultured bacterium. Its description in RNAcentral is "partial 16S ribosomal RNA". It matches the Rfam family "Bacterial small subunit ribosomal RNA", at positions 524 to 776 of the family's 1533-position model. The record is from RNAcentral.